Molecule: long non-coding RNA, 503 nt
Organism: Lynx canadensis (Canada lynx)
Lineage: Eukaryota; Metazoa; Chordata; Mammalia; Carnivora; Felidae
Exons: 3
Source: RefSeq, a predicted model, not a curated record
GACCUGCUUGGAGACACAGAGGGGGGACAUGGAGAAGACUGGCAGUGCCCAGCUCCGAGGCCCAAGGCCUUCCAACUGUUAGCCCUAGACAGCAGGAGCUGGUAAGGGCUUCACUCAGGCAGAAAUUCUUGCUUCACUACUUGCUGGCUGGUGCCCUGCAGGUCCAACCUUUGACUGACAACAGACAUCUGUGCUGCCUACAUUCAGACAACACGGGGCGUAGGAAAGUGAUAUGCUGAUCCUCAUAAUCAUAUGGAAAUACAAGGGACCCGCAAUAGCCAAAACACUCUUGAAAAGGAAGAACAAAGUUGGAAGGACUCAUACUUUGCAGUUUCAAAACUUAUGGCAAAACUCCCAUAAUCAAGACAUUGUAAAGAUAAAUAUAAAUCAAGGGAAUAAAAUUGAGCGUCCAGAAGUAAUUCCAUACAUUUAUCGUCUGUGAUUUUCAGCAAAGGUCUCGAGAUAAUUCAAUGGAAGAAAGGAAGUUUCUUUAAUAAAUGGAG